Molecule: ribosomal RNA, 1355 nt
Filed under: Vibrio owensii
Lineage: Bacteria; Pseudomonadati; Pseudomonadota; Gammaproteobacteria; Vibrionales; Vibrionaceae
Description: bacterial SSU rRNA
Rfam family: Bacterial small subunit ribosomal RNA
Source: RNAcentral
ACGGGUGAGUAAUGCCUAGGAAAUUGCCCUGAUGUGGGGGAUAACCAUUGGAAACGAUGGCUAAUACCGCAUAAUGCCUACGGGCCAAAGAGGGGGACCUUCGGGCCUCUCGCGUCAGGAUAUGCCUAGGUGGGAUUAGCUAGUUGGUGAGGUAAUGGCUCACCAAGGCGACGAUCCCUAGCUGGUCUGAGAGGAUGAUCAGCCACACUGGAACUGAGACACGGUCCAGACUCCUACGGGAGGCAGCAGUGGGGAAUAUUGCACAAUGGGCGCAAGCCUGAUGCAGCCAUGCCGCGUGUGUGAAGAAGGCCUUCGGGUUGUAAAGCACUUUCAGUCGUGAGGAAGGUAGUGUAGUUAAUAGCUGCAUUAUUUGACGUUAGCGACAGAAGAAGCACCGGCUAACUCCGUGCCAGCAGCCGCGGUAAUACGGAGGGUGCGAGCGUUAAUCGGAAUUACUGGGCGUAAAGCGCAUGCAGGUGGUUUGUUAAGUCAGAUGUGAAAGCCCGGGGCUCAACCUCGGAAUAGCAUUUGAAACUGGCAGACUAGAGUACUGUAGAGGGGGGUAGAAUUUCAGGUGUAGCGGUGAAAUGCGUAGAGAUCUGAAGGAAUACCGGUGGCGAAGGCGGCCCCCUGGACAGAUACUGACACUCAGAUGCGAAAGCGUGGGGAGCAAACAGGAUUAGAUACCCUGGUAGUCCACGCCGUAAACGAUGUCUACUUGGAGGUUGUGGCCUUGAGCCGUGGCUUUCGGAGCUAACGCGUUAAGUAGACCGCCUGGGGAGUACGGUCGCAAGAUUAAAACUCAAAUGAAUUGACGGGGGCCCGCACAAGCGGUGGAGCAUGUGGUUUAAUUCGAUGCAACGCGAAGAACCUUACCUACUCUUGACAUCCAGAGAACUUUCCAGAGAUGGAUUGGUGCCUUCGGGAACUCUGAGACAGGUGCUGCAUGGCUGUCGUCAGCUCGUGUUGUGAAAUGUUGGGUUAAGUCCCGCAACGAGCGCAACCCUUAUCCUUGUUUGCCAGCGAUAAUGUCGGGAACUCCAGGGAGACUGCCGGUGAUAAACCGGAGGAAGGUGGGGACGACGUCAAGUCAUCAUGGCCCUUACGAGUAGGGCUACACACGUGCUACAAUGGCGCAUACAGAGGGCAGCAAGCUAGCGAUAGUGAGCGAAUCCCAAAAAGUGCGUCGUAGUCCGGAUUGGAGUCUGCAACUCGACUCCAUGAAGUCGGAAUCGCUAGUAAUCGUGGAUCAGAAUGCCACGGUGAAUACGUUCCCGGGCCUUGUACACACCGCCCGUCACACCAUGGGAGUGGGCUGCAAAAGAAGUAGGUAGUUUAACCUUCGGGAGGACGCU